Molecule: long non-coding RNA, 652 nt
Organism: Vespula pensylvanica (western yellowjacket)
Lineage: Eukaryota; Metazoa; Arthropoda; Insecta; Hymenoptera; Vespidae
Exons: 4
Source: RefSeq, a predicted model, not a curated record
CCUAGGUCUUUCAGAAGAGGAAACACCUAGAAUAAUAUAUUAGUCCCGAUUCAGAGUGAUAAUGGAAAUCAUCUUUUUAAACAAGAACCCCUCGUUAGGCACUCGUGCCAGACGCAAUAAUUAAUAAAGGGAGAUGGCACUAUUUUCGCUACGUAUUUGACGGCAGACGGAUUCGAUUUGAUGGAUUCAUGUACCUAAAUAUGUAUACGGAUAUAUAUGUAUAUAUAUAUAUACGUCUUUCUCCGUACUGUGUACUUUCUAUGUAUUAGAGUCUAAUUAUGUGCAUAUUUAUAUAUGCAUUUGUCUACAAAAUAACCUAUCUAUAUCUAUCUGAGGACCAUCAAGGAUGUAAUACGAAAUAACAUCAAAAAGAAAAUCAAUAGAUAAAUGAAACAGAAAAAGAAAUUUAAAUUCAAGAAGAAAAGAAACAUUGAUUAAAAUGAAAAAAGUAGUUUUAAUUGAAGAAGAUAGGAGAAUCGCCGGUUAUAUUCUUCAUGUUCUUGGCGGCAGCGAGAGGGCUUCCAUGUUCAUCCGUCGGAGUACGUUGGAAAACUGACACGGUAAUCGUACAAAUCAACCAUUAUUUGAUUUUACACGUAGCGAACGAGUGCUAUUUCAAAAUUUAAAUCUAGCAGAAAAUAAAUUUAAAUUA